This is a microRNA precursor of Oryza sativa Japonica Group (Japanese rice), 205 nucleotides long. It matches the Rfam family "MIR812 microRNA precursor family". The record is from Rfam. Lineage: Eukaryota; Viridiplantae; Streptophyta; Magnoliopsida; Poales; Poaceae.
AAAAAAACAAACUCUGAGUUUCCGUGCCAACGUUUGACUAUCCAUCUUAUAUGAAACUUUUUUAUAAUUAGUAUUUUCAUUGUUAUUAGAUGAUAAAACAUGAUUAAUACUUUAUGCGUGACUUAUCUUUUUAAUUUUUUUCAUAAUUUUUUUAAAUAAGACAAACGGUCAAUCGUUGGCCACGGAAAUCAGGGUUUGUCUUUUU